This 219-nucleotide ribosomal RNA is filed under the name uncultured bacterium. RNAcentral describes it as "partial 16S ribosomal RNA". It matches the Rfam family "Bacterial small subunit ribosomal RNA", at positions 112 to 334 of the family's 1533-position model. The record is from RNAcentral.
AGCGCGUAGGAACGUGUCCGGAGGUGGGGGACGAACCGCGGGAGACUGCGGCUAAUACCGCACGCGGCCUGAGGGCCAAAGGCAGGGGGAGACUUCUGCCGCCUCCUGGAGCGGCCUGCGUCCGAUUAGCUAGUUGGUGGGGUGACGGCCCACCAAGGCUGUGAUCGGUAGCUGGUCUGAGAGGAUGAUCAGCCACACUGGGACUGAGACACGGCCCAG